This 1000-nucleotide ribosomal RNA is filed under the name uncultured organism. RNAcentral describes it as "bacterial SSU rRNA". It matches the Rfam family "Bacterial small subunit ribosomal RNA", at positions 355 to 1375 of the family's 1533-position model. The record is from RNAcentral.
UGGGGGAUAUUGCGCAAUGGGGGCAACCCUGACGCAGCAACGCCGCGUGAAGGAUGAAGGUUUUCGGAUUGUAAACUUCUUUUAUUGAGGACGAAACUUGACGGUACUUAAUGAAUAAGCUCCGGCUAACUACGUGCCAGCAGCCGCGGUAAUACGUAGGGAGCAAGCGUUGUCCGGAUUUACUGGGUGUAAAGGGUGCGUAGGCGGCUUUGCAAGUCAGAUGUGAAAUCUAUGGGCUCAACCCAUAAACUGCAUUUGAAACUGUAGAGCUUGAGUGAAGUAGAGGCAGGCGGAAUUCCCCGUGUAGCGGUGAAAUGCGUAGAGAUGGGGAGGAACACCAGUGGCGAAGGCGGCCUGCUGGGCUUUAACUGACGCUGAGGCACGAAAGCGUGGGUAGCAAACAGGAUUAGAUACCCUGGUAGUCCACGCUGUAAACGAUGAUUACUAGGUGUGGGGGGUCUGACCCCUUCCGUGCCGGAGUUAACACAAUAAGUAAUCCACCUGGGGAGUACGGCCGCAAGGUUGAAACUCAAAGGAAUUGACGGGGGCCCGCACAAGCAGUGGAGUAUGUGGUUUAAUUCGAAGCAACGCGAAGAACCUUACCAGGUCUUGACAUCCAACUAACGAAGUAGAGAUACAUUAGGUGCCCUUCGGGGAAAGUUGAGACAGGUGGUGCAUGGUUGUCGUCAGCUCGUGUCGUGAGAUGUUGGGUUAAGUCCCGCAACGAGCGCAACCCUUGCUAUUAGUUGCUACGCAAGAGCACUCUAAUAGGACUGCCGUUGACAAAACGGAGGAAGGUGGGGACGACGUCAAAUCAUCAUGCCCCUUAUGACCUGGGCUACACACGUACUACAAUGGAUGUUAACAGAGGGAAGCAAGACAGCGAUGUGGAGCAAACCCCUAAAAACAUUCUCAGUUCAGAUUGCAGGCUGCAACCCGCCUGCAUGAAGAUGGAAUUGCUAGUAAUCGCGGAUCAGCAUGCCGCGGUGAAUACGUUCCC